RNAcentral lists this ribosomal RNA (555 nucleotides) under uncultured bacterium. RNAcentral's name for it is "bacterial SSU rRNA". It matches the Rfam family "Bacterial small subunit ribosomal RNA", at positions 340 to 916 of the family's 1533-position model. The record is from RNAcentral.
UACGGGAGGCAGCAGUGGGGAAUAUUGGACAAUGGGGGAAACCCUGAUCCAGCAAUGCCGCGUGAGUGAUGAAGGCCUUAGGGUUGUAAAACUCUUUCAGAAGUGAAGAUGAUGACGGUAACUUCAGAAGAAGCUCCGGCUAACUCCGUGCCAGCAGCCGCGGUAAUACGGAGGGAGCUAGCGUUGUUCGGAAUUACUGGGCGUAAAGGGCGUGUAGGCUGUUAGGUAAGUCAGAGGUGAAAUCCCUAAGCUCAACUUAGGAACUGCCUUUGAUACUAUCUUACUAGAGAUCGAGAGAAGUUGGCGGAAUUCCAAGUGUAGAGGUGAAAUUCGUAGAUAUUUGGAAGAACACCAGUGGCGAAAGCGGCCAACUGGCUCGUAUCUGACGCUGAGACGCGAAAGCGUGGGUAGCAAACAGGAUUAGAUACCCUGGUAGUCCACGCCGUAAACGAUGAGUGCUAGCCGUUUGUGAUUAAUCACAAGUGGUGCAGCUAACGCGUUAAGCACUCCGCCUGGGGAGUACGAUCGCAAGAUUAAAACUCAAAUGAAUGACGG